UCCCGCCAUUUUCUUGUUUGCUUCUAAUCGAACGCACGUACUUUCCGCGUUCUUCAAAUGCCAAUUGUUUGAUGUCGAAAAUAGUCGCGAAUGGUCGCAUUAAUCUUAACAUAAAGUAAGAGUAGAUCGCGAAUCACAUCAUUAAUGAGAUUUGAAGAGACUCAUACAGCACAGAAGACUGCAAAAAUAUUGUUGCAACAUUGCUGCAACGUUGCAACAAUAUUGUUGCAAGUUUUGUGCUGUAUGGGGAGCAACAAAACUUGAACGAGAAGACAAACUCCUUGGAGCAACUCAUGAAUCAACUGGAACAAAAAUAUAGAAGCAGUAGCAGCAAUAUCAGUGGCAAUAUAAUAACUACAACCCGUAAUAUGAAAUCUGCUUUGAAGUGAAUAAAAAUUUGGAGCAGCAGACAAAUCACAGAAUAAAAUGUGAAAAUGCAAUGUUGCAUUUUCAAGACUACUAUUUGCUAAAUCUUGUAUGAAAGAUUCUUUCGAUAAUUAAUCUACGUGCGAUCGUAAUUAUUAAUAUUUUUUUAGUUUCAAUUUCGGGAGUGCCGUAUAAAGUGUUACAUGAACCUAAUAGCAUAUUUAGUCUAAUUAGCAAAUAAUUGUGUUCUUUUCAUGUUUUUGAGUGAAAUUAUUGUCUAGCAAAGGGAGACAAUCAUUAUCCCUUAUGUCAGAUGGGUGAACGCAUUUGUAUUGACUAAAAGUUGUAAUAAUUUUUAUUGAAGAAAAAGAGAGUUAUUUCUCGUCAGUUUUUACAAGUUCCAUCUAGUCUAGUUUGGUGUCUCAUUGAAAGCUGAAGGUUCCGUUUGCAGGACUAAAAUUAAACAGGAGUUUUUUCGACGGUUUUCGAAACUGAUUGUGGCAAUAAAUCAACGACUAUCAUUCGAAUUCCACGGUCAAGUCGCGAAGUAUAUUAUAUAUAAUAAUAAUGUAAAUAUGACUAGAACAAAUGUUUA
This is a long non-coding RNA of Solenopsis invicta (red fire ant), 961 nucleotides long. RefSeq lists it as uncharacterized. NCBI's taxonomy places the organism in Eukaryota, Metazoa, Arthropoda, Insecta, Hymenoptera, Formicidae. The record is from RefSeq and is a predicted model, not a curated record. The transcript has 3 exons.